Molecule: ribosomal RNA, 748 nt
Filed under: uncultured Aquabacterium sp.
Lineage: Bacteria; Pseudomonadati; Pseudomonadota; Betaproteobacteria; Burkholderiales; Sphaerotilaceae
Description: bacterial SSU rRNA
Rfam family: Bacterial small subunit ribosomal RNA
Source: RNAcentral
AUUGAACGCUGGCGGCAUGCCUUACACAUGCAAGUCGAACGGUAACAGGUCUUCGGAUGCUGACGAGUGGCGAACGGGUGAGUAAUGCAUCGGAACGUGCCCAGUAGUGGGGGAUAGCCCGGCGAAAGCCGGAUUAAUACCGCAUACGACCUGAGGGUGAAAGGGGGGGAUCGCAAGACCUUUCGCUAUUGGAGCGGCCGAUGUCAGAUUAGCUAGUUGGUGGGGUAAAGGCCUACCAAGGCAACGAUCUGUAGUUGGUCUGAGAGGACGACCAGCCACACUGGGACUGAGACACGGCCCAGACUCCUACGGGAGGCAGCAGUGGGGAAUUUUGGACAAUGGGCGCAAGCCUGAUCCAGCAAUGCCGCGUGCAGGAAGAAGGCCUUCGGGUUGUAAACUGCUUUUGUCAGGGAAGAAAUCUUCUGGGUUAAUACCUCGGGAGGAUGACGGUACCUGAAGAAUAAGCACCGGCUAACUACGUGCCAGCAGCCGCGGUAAUACGUAGGGUGCGAGCGUUAAUCGGAAUUACUGGGCGUAAAGCGUGCGCAGGCGGCUUUGCAAGACAGAGGUGAAAUCCCCGGGCUCAACCUGGGAACUGCCUUUGUGACUGCAAGGCUAGAGUACGGCAGAGGGGGAUGGAAUUCCGCGUGUAGCAGUGAAAUGCGUAGAUAUGCGGAGGAACACCAAUGGCGAAGGCAAUCCCCUGGGCCUGUACUGACGCUCAUGCACGAAAGCGUGGGGAGCAAAC